UACCGUAAAAUAUAUGGCGUUUCAUCUCUGUCUUUCUGGGUUGUUUGGCUUUUGGGCGUGCGCUUCCCUCGCUCUCUCUCGCUCUCUUUCUCUCUCUCGUAUUCUCGUCCCACAAUUGGAAGAAGCUCGAACAAACCACCGAACUGCUUUUCUCGGACCGCCUUAGAUUGAAGUAAAGGUCAUGGCCGGAAAGAAAAUUAUAGCGAUAUGUCAGUCGGGUGGGGAGUUUGUGACGAAUAAAGACGGGUCGUUGUCUUACACUGGGGGUGAGGCAUUUGCGAUUGACAUUGAUCAGCAAACACAGUUAAAUGAUUUCAAGUCGGAAAUAGCAGAAAUGUUUGAUUUUAGCGUUGAUACGAUGAUUAUCAAGUAUUUCCUUCCUGGGAAUAAGAAGACUCUCAUCACAAUUUCCAAAGACAAGGACUUGCAACGCAUGGUGAAUUUCCUCGGUGAUUCUGUCACGGUUGAUGUGUUUAUCAUGUCAGAGGAAGCUGCUGCUCGAAAUGUAUCCAACAUGCCUGGUAGUAGGUCAAGCAGGACAACUGUGUCAGAAGCAGUGAUUCCGGUAGUUACCCCCAUUGAUAUUCAAGUUGAUACAGCUAAUGCCAAUAAUCAUAUAGAUAUGGAGAUACCCAAUGAAACAGCUUUAGUUUAUCCUGCUGGUUCUAAUGAUGACAGGCAUCGGAAAGCUGCACAACAGUGGGAAAACACCAUCACUGGUGUGGAUCAAAGGUUUAACAGUUUUAGUGAAUUCCGAGAAGCAUUGCACAAAUACUCCAUUGCACAUGGAUUUGCUUAUAGAUAUAAGAAAAAUGACAGUCAUCGUGUCACUGUCAAAUGCAAAUCCCAAGGUUGUCCUUGGCGGAUAUAUGCUUCAAGGUUGUCUACCACCCAGUUGAUUUGUAUCAAGAAAAUGAACACACAACAUACUUGUGAAGGAGCCGCAGUGAAAGCUGGGUAUCGAGCGACUAGGGGUUGGGUGGGAAGUAUCAUAAAGGAGAAGUUGAAAGUUUCCCCAAACUACAAGCCAAAGGAUAUUGCAGAUGAUAUCAAACGGGAGUAUGGGAUUCAAUUGAAUUAUUCUCAGGCAUGGCGUGCAAAAGAGAUUGCAAGGGAGCAGCUUCAGGGCUCCUAUAAAGAGGCAUAUAAUCUGUUACCUUUUUUCUGUGAGAGGAUAAAGGAAACAAAUCCAGGGAGUGUCGCCACAUUUACCACCAAGGAUGAUUCGAGCUUCCAUCGUCUCUUUGUAUCAUUUCAUGCCUCGAUAUCUGGUUUUCAGCAAGGAUGUCGCCCUCUCCUUUUCCUUGAUAGCACUCCUUUAAACUCAAAAUACCAGGGGGUAUUAUUAGCUGCAAUAGCUGUAGAUGGUGAUGAUGCUAUCUUUCCAGUAGCCUUUGCUGUUGUAGAUGCUGAGACUGAGGAUAACUGGCAUUGGUUUUUAAUGGAACUUAAAUCUGCAUUGUCAACAUCUCAGCAGAUUACAUUCGUUGCAGAUUGUCAGAAUGGUUUAAAGAAGUCAUUGGCUGAGAUAUUUGAUAAAUGCUACCACAGCUAUUGUUUACGCCAUCUUGCUGAGAAACUUAAUAAGGAUUUGAAGGGGCAAUUUUCUCAUGAGGCAAGACGAUUUAUGAUUAAUGAUUUUUAUGCAGCUGCUUAUGCACCCAAACUCGAGGGUUUCAACCGUUGUGCUGAGAACAUCAAAGGUAUUUCUCCUGAAGCUUACAAUUGGGUUAUACAAAGUGACCCACAGCAUUGGGCAAAUGCUUUCUUUGGAGGAGCAAGGUAUAACCUCAUGACAUCAAACUUUGGACAACAAUUCUACAGUUGGGUCUCAGAGGCACAUGAGUUGCCAAUAACACAGAUGAUUGAUGUAUUACGAGGUAAGAUGAUGGAAUCUAUAUAUGCACGUAGGGUGGAUUCCAGUCAAUGGGAGACAAAGAUAACGCCAUCUAAGGAAGAAAGGCUACAAAAAGAAACUUCAAUAGCUCGAUCACUUCAAGUGUUGCUCUCACAUGGUAGUAUAUUUGAGGUGCGUGGAGAAUCAGUCGAUAUUGUUGAUAUUGAUAAUUGGGAUUGUAGCUGCAAGGAAUGGCAACUUACAGGUUUGCCUUGCUGCCAUGCUAUUGCUGUAUUUGAAUGCAUUGAUAGGAGCCCAUAUGAUUAUUGCUCCAGAUACUUCACAGCCGAGAGUUACCGUCUAACGUAUGCAGAGUCCAUUCACCCUGUUCCAAAUGUAGACAGACCAGUCCAGGGUGAAUCAGCUGAGGUAGUAGUUACUGUAACCCCUCCACCUACAAAACGACCACCAGGCCGACCUAAGAUGAAGCAAGCUGAAUCCAUAGACAUAAUUAAACGCCAACUCCAGUGUAGCAAGUGCAAGGGCCUUGGCCACAAUAAGAAGACAUGCAAAGAUUCCUAGUACACAACAUGUUAGGACAUUGUUAAGUAGGCAGAUUCAGCGUCAAAGCACUGCAGCAUUUUGUUCUAGACCAUUUUUAAGAGACAUGGCGAAGACAGGAUGCUUGUGGAGCUGUGUGAGCAGAACUUUUUGUUACUUAUGGCCAGAAAUUAACGAGAUGGCUCUUCUUUGUCAAAACCUGCAAAGAUGGCCGUGCUAACUGUCAAUAUUUUUCAACAGUUGUUAUAACCUUCUCAAUAUAUUUUAACAGUUUAUAUUCACAUGCAGAAACUUCUUGUAACUUUAUUUUUGACCAAAAGUUGUAACAUAAAAUAUGCAAUUUGGU
Molecule: RNA transcript, 2744 nt
Organism: Alnus glutinosa
Lineage: Eukaryota; Viridiplantae; Streptophyta; Magnoliopsida; Fagales; Betulaceae
Exons: 5
Source: RefSeq, a predicted model, not a curated record